UGAGGAAUAUUGGUCAAUGGACGGAAGUCUGAACCAGCCAAGUAGCGUGCAGGAAGACGGCCCUAUGGGUUGUAAACUGCUUUUGUAUGGGGAUAAAGUCAAUCACGUGUGAUUGUUUGCAGGUACCAUACGAAUAAGGACCGGCUAAUUCCGUGCCAGCAGCCGCGGUAAUACGGAAGGUUCGGGCGUUAUCCGGAUUUAUUGGGUUUAAAGGGAGCGUAGGCCGGAGAUUAAGUGUGUUGUGAAAUGUAGACGCUCAACGUCUGACUUGCAGCGCAUACUGGUUUCCUUGAGUACGCACAACGUUGGCGGAAUUCGUUGUGUAGCGGUGAAAUGCUUAGAUAUGACGAAGAACUCCGAUUGCGAAGGCAGCUGACGGGAGCGCAACUGACGCUGAAGCUCGAAGGUGCGGGUAUCGAACAGGAUUAGAUACCCUGGUAGUCCGCACAGUAAGCGAUGGAUGCCCGCUGUUGGUACCUAGUAUCAGCGGCUAAGCGAAAGCAUUAAGCAUCCCACCUGGGGAGUACGCCGGCAACGGUG
RNAcentral lists this ribosomal RNA (540 nucleotides) under uncultured bacterium. Its description in RNAcentral is "bacterial SSU rRNA". It matches the Rfam family "Bacterial small subunit ribosomal RNA", at positions 355 to 896 of the family's 1533-position model. The record is from RNAcentral.